GAUGAACGCUGACAGAAUGCUUAACACAUGCAAGUCUACCAAGAAUCACUUCGGUGAGGAAUGGUGGCGGACGGGUGAGUAACGCGUAAAUAAUCUGCACUUUAGACUGGGAUAUCCUUUGGAAACGAAGGUUAAUACCGGAUAUUAUGAGAUGGACGCAUGUUCAACUUAUGAAAGCUAAAUGCACUAGAGGAGGAGUUUGCGUCCCAUUAGCUAGUUGGUGAGGUAAAGGCUCACCAAGGCCACGAUGGGUAGCCGGCCUGGGAGGGUGAACGGCCACAAGGGAACUGAGACACGGUCCUUACUCCUACGGGAGGCAGCAGUGGGGAAUAUUGGACAAUGGACCAAAAGUCUGAUCCAGCAAUUCUGUGUGCACGAUGAAGGUCUUCGGAUUGUAAAGUGCUUUCAGUAGGGGAGAAAAAAAUGACGGUACCUACAGAAGAAGCGACGGCUAAAUAUGUGCCAGCAGCCGCCGUAA
This 478-nucleotide ribosomal RNA is filed under the name uncultured bacterium. RNAcentral's name for it is "partial 16S ribosomal RNA". It matches the Rfam family "Bacterial small subunit ribosomal RNA", at positions 28 to 523 of the family's 1533-position model. The record is from RNAcentral.